GACGAACGCUGGCGGCGUGCUUAACACAUGCAAGUCGAACGGAAAGGCCCUGCUUUUGUGGGGUGCUCGAGUGGCGAACGGGUGAGUAACACGUGAGUAACCUGCCCUUGACUUUGGGAUAACUUCAGGCAACUGGGGCUAAUACCGGCUAGGAGCUCCUGCUGCUUGGUGGGGGUUGGAAAGUUUCGGCGGUUGGGGAUGGACUCGCGGCUUAUCAGCUUGUUGGUGGGGUAGUGGCUUACCAAGGCUUUGACGGGUAGCCGGCCUGAGAGGGUGACCGGCCACAAUGGGACUGAGAUACGGCCCAGACUCCUACGGGAGGCAGCAGUGGGGAAUAUUACACAAUGGGCGGGAGCCUGAUGCAGCAACGCCGCGUGCGGGAUGACGGCCUUCGGGUUGUAAACCGCUUUCGCCUGUGACGAAGCGUGAGUGACGGUAAUGGGUAAAGAAGCACCGGCUAACUACGUG
RNAcentral lists this ribosomal RNA (468 nucleotides) under uncultured bacterium. RNAcentral describes it as "partial 16S ribosomal RNA". It matches the Rfam family "Bacterial small subunit ribosomal RNA", at positions 28 to 507 of the family's 1533-position model. The record is from RNAcentral.